UAACGCGUGAGCAACCUGCCUUUCAGAGGGGGAUAACGAUUGGAAACGAUCGCUAAUACCGCAUAACGUCCGGAUGGGACAUCCUGUCUGGACCAAAGGAGAAAUCCGCUGAGAGAUGGGCUCGCGUCCAAUUAGCUAGUUGGCGGGGUAAAGGCCCACCAAGGCGACGAUUGGUAGCCGGACUGAGAGGUUGAACGGCCACAUUGGGACUGAGACACGGCCCAGACUCCUACGGGAGGCAGCAGUGGGGAAUAUUGCACAAUGGGGGGAACCCUGAUGCAGCGACGCCGCGUGAGGGAAGAAGGUUUUCGGAUUGUAAACCUCUGUCCUCUGUGACGAUAAUGACGGUAGCAGAGGAGGAAGCCACGGCUAACUACGUGCCAGCAGCCGCGGUAAUACGUAGGUGGCGAGCGUUAUCCGGAAUUACUGGGUGUAAAGGGAGCGUAGGCGGGGGAACAAGUUGAAUGUUUAAGAUAUGGGCUCAACUCAUAUAAGCGUUCAAAACUGUUUUUCUUGAGUGAAGUAGAGGUAAGCGGAAUUCCUAGUGUAGCGGUGGAAUGCGUAAAUAUUAGGAGGAACACCAGUGGCGAAGGCGGCUUACUGGGCUUUAACUGACGCUGAGGCUCGAAAGCGUGGUAGCAAACAGGAUUAGAUACCCUGGUAGU
Molecule: ribosomal RNA, 665 nt
Filed under: uncultured bacterium
Lineage: Bacteria
Description: bacterial SSU rRNA
Rfam family: Bacterial small subunit ribosomal RNA
Source: RNAcentral